This 465-nucleotide ribosomal RNA is filed under the name Vreelandella stevensii. RNAcentral's name for it is "partial 16S ribosomal RNA". It matches the Rfam family "Bacterial small subunit ribosomal RNA", at positions 338 to 795 of the family's 1533-position model. Lineage: Bacteria; Pseudomonadati; Pseudomonadota; Gammaproteobacteria; Oceanospirillales; Halomonadaceae. The record is from RNAcentral.
CCUACGGGAGGCAGCAGUGGGGAAUAUUGGACAAUGGGGGCAACCCUGAUCCAGCCAUGCCGCGUGUGUGAAGAAGGCCCUCGGGUUGUAAAGCGCUUUCAGUGAGGAAGAACGCCUGGUGGUUAAUACCCAUCAGGAAAGACAUCACUCACAGAAGAAGCACCGGCUAACUCCGUGCCAGCAGCCGCGGUAAUACGGAGGGUGCGAGCGUUAAUCGGAAUUACUGGGCGUAAAGCGCGCGUAGGUGGCUUGAUAAGCCGGUUGUGAAAGCCCCGGGCUCAACCUGGGAACGGCAUCCGGAACUGUCAAGCUAGAGUGCAGGAGAGGAAGGUAGAAUUCCCGGUGUAGCGGUGAAAUGCGUAGAGAUCGGGAGGAAUACCAGUGGCGAAGGCGGCCUUCUGGACUGACACUGACACUGAGGUGCGAAAGCGUGGGUAGCAAACAGGAUUAGAUACCCUAGUAGUC